This 619-nucleotide ribosomal RNA is filed under the name Pseudovibrio sp. AU57_Ted2_MB20FF. Its description in RNAcentral is "bacterial SSU rRNA". It matches the Rfam family "Bacterial small subunit ribosomal RNA", at positions 66 to 731 of the family's 1533-position model. The record is from RNAcentral. Lineage: Bacteria; Pseudomonadati; Pseudomonadota; Alphaproteobacteria; Hyphomicrobiales; Stappiaceae.
ACGGAUCCUUCGGGAUUAGUGGCAGACGGGUGAGUAACGCGUGGGAAGCUACCUUGUGGUAGGGGACAACAGUUGGAAACGACUGCUAAUACCCUAUGAGCCCUAUGGGGGAAAGAUUUAUCGCCAUGAGAUGUGCCCGCGUUAGAUUAGCUAGUUGGUAAGGUAAUGGCUUACCAAGGCGACGAUCUAUAGCUGGUCUGAGAGGAUGAUCAGCCACACUGGGACUGAGACACGGCCCAGACUCCUACGGGAGGCAGCAGUGGGGAAUAUUGGACAAUGGGGGCAACCCUGAUCCAGCCAUGCCGCGUGUGUGAUGACGGCCUUAGGGUUGUAAAGCACUUUCAGCAGUGAAGAUAAUGACAUUAACUGCAGAAGAAGCCCCGGCUAACUUCGUGCCAGCAGCCGCGGUAAUACGAAGGGGGCUAGCGUUGUUCGGAAUCACUGGGCGUAAAGAGUACGUAGGCGGACUGAUAAGUUAGGGGUGAAAUCCCAAGGCUCAACCUUGGAACUGCCUUUGAUACUGUCAGUCUUGAGAUCGAGAGAGGUGAGUGGAACUCCGAGUGUACAGGUGAAAUUCGUAGAUAUUCGGAAGAACACCAGUGGCGAAGGCGGCUCACUG